This is a long non-coding RNA of Oncorhynchus masou masou (cherry salmon), 1395 nucleotides long. RefSeq lists it as uncharacterized. NCBI's taxonomy places the organism in Eukaryota, Metazoa, Chordata, Actinopteri, Salmoniformes, Salmonidae. The record is from RefSeq and is a predicted model, not a curated record. The transcript is spliced from 5 exons.
UUGAGCAUGCUUUGGUGGCACAGUCGAUGACGCGCUGGACAAGGCCCGCACGCGGGUGGCAGCACCGCAUGGCCCUAAACAGUUUCUCAUGCAUUGUCAACCAACCCGGAUGUGAUAUAAUUCAGGCCACAUGUUGAUUCAGUGCAGCUUCUCCGUGCAGGACGUGGGAAGGGACGCACACACUGUAAACAGGAAUAGGUGCAUCACCGGUCACUGAGUUAGCAAGCUAAAGUUAGCUAGUUAGUCACAUAAAUGUACGUUCAGCCUGUUAAUUAUUUCAGUUUGAUUUGACUUAUCUUACGAAGGCAGCAUGGCUUAACAUAGUUUCUUUCGUUUUUGACCUCGACAUUGUUGCUCGACAGGUAUUUUCAUAGCUACCAUGCUGUCGCUGUUAGCUAGUAAAUGCUAGCAUCGCAGGCUAACCUCAUAUCUCGAUGCCUGGAAGGUUCCCGAAAGUAGCAGCAUACUGGCCCUCCAUUCCCAAACCUGAAGCCAACUGUUCCCAACAGGAAAGACCAGGAAAAGGUGUUGGCUUAAGGUACAACUUCCUAUUGAAGAAAUUCUGUUCUGUUUAGGUUAGUGUGUAGUCAAGGCUUUGCCAACCUGCACGGUGGGUGACUGGUAACCGUCUUUCCACCAAGCUGUUCCAGGCCUGGAGUGGCACGCUGGAACUUCCAGAGGUUUGUAGACCUGAAGCAGUGUGAUGUGGUCCAGGUACUUAUCAAACAUACACACUCACUCUGUUUUGUUGUAUAAUUUUUUUAACUUAAGAAAAUUGUUCCUCUGUCAUCUGCUCCUGCAUCUGCUACACUGGCCACAACAGGUGAUACAGAUCUGCCAUGCCCAGCAGUUCAGCUGCAGUCACAGCAGUCUUCUGCUGUGGUAGUUAAUUUACCAGCUGCAUCAAUGCCUUCUACACUGCCCGUGAAAGGAGAAACUUUUGGGUAUUCCCAGAUGGAUACAAGAUCUGCCAUGCCCUCCACCACUGCCUGUCAGCCUCACCCAGAAGUGCAUACACUGGGCCUAUCAGAGAUGGCUGUCUGACAAGGAAAAAUAAAACACACACACACAUUAUCCACAAUGUAAAUAAGUUGUAAUUACUUGUUUAAUGUUUGCUCCAUUUUAUUGUAGGAUUGGAGAUAUCUACUCUUUCAUAGCCAUUCUCAAUAUCUACAUAAUUACUCUAUCUAUAACUAUCUAUCAAAUCAAAGUGUGAUUGAUAAUAUUGUAAAAUACUUGCUUAAUGUGUAGUUUUAGGACAUUUUGUAUGCUUGAAAAACAUGCCUCAUACACACAUUAGACCCAAUGUAAAUCAGUUGUAAUAACUUGUUUAUUUUAUGUAUGGUGAAUUUUAUUUGAGGAAAAUAUCUGCAAUAAAGUACAUUCACAGUUAAA